GCGAGUGAAGCGGCAAAAGCUCAAAUUUGAAACCCUCGGGAUUGUAAUUUGAAGAUUUGGCAUUGGAGAAAGCUAACCCAAGUUGCUUGGAAUAGUACGUCAUAGAGGGUGACAACCCCGUCUGGCUAACCGUUCUCCAUGUAUUGCCUUAUCAAAGAGUCGAGUUGUUUGGGAAUGCAGCUCAAAGUGGGUGGUAAACUCCAUCUAAAGCUAAAUACUGGUGAGAGACCGAUAGCGAACAAGUACUGUGAAGGAAAGGUGAAAAGAACUUUGAAAAGAGAGUGAAAUAGUAUGUGAAAUUGUUGAUAGGGAAGGAAAUGAGUGGAGAGUGGCCGAGGUUUCAGCCGCCCCUCGUGGGCGGUGUACUGCCGACGCCGAGUCAUCGAUAGCGAGACGAGGGUUACAAAUGGGAGCGCCUUUCGGGGGUUCCCCCCUACCCCUCCCCCUGGCCCCCAACAACUUAUCCCCCCCUUUUCCCCCGCC
RNAcentral lists this ribosomal RNA (483 nucleotides) under Yarrowia sp. SM15S06. RNAcentral's name for it is "eukaryotic LSU rRNA". It matches the Rfam family "Eukaryotic large subunit ribosomal RNA", at positions 89 to 653 of the family's 3401-position model. Lineage: Eukaryota; Fungi; Ascomycota; Dipodascomycetes; Dipodascales. The record is from RNAcentral.